This is a long non-coding RNA of Equus asinus (donkey), 5497 nucleotides long. The record is from Ensembl. NCBI's taxonomy places the organism in Eukaryota, Metazoa, Chordata, Mammalia, Perissodactyla, Equidae.
GGAAUGGGCAAGGGAGCUCUCUGCGGCCUCUUUUAUAGGGGCUCUGAUCCCAGUGAUGAGGUCUCCGCCCUCAUGACCUAAUCACCUCCCAAAGCCUUCACUCCUAAAGCCAUCACCUCAGGGCUCAGUAUUUCAUUAUAUGAAUGGGGGGGGGGGCAUAAGCGUUCAGACUGCAGCACCUCCCAUUCCUGCGCCUCUACAGUAUCCGUGCCGUGUGAAGACAUCGGCGGGCUCCCUCCAGCUUUCUCCAGUGUGAAGGAUGUGCCAGAAAGGAGCCUCUGACCCUGAAUCUCUCUCACUCAGGAGAUGUCAGAGUCCGUGUUCCUUGGCCGACUCAUGGGUACUUGCAACACAAGUGCUUAGAUUCAGCUGGACUCAGUUGUGACAUCCCAGAGUUGUGGUCCACUCGUGGGGAAGAGCAAGGAACUCACAGUCCCGCUGCCCCAUCCCUUUGAUGUGGCCACUGUGUGCGCUUGCCCGGGGAGCCCACAGGCCGUCUGCUCUCUCUACACAGUCCCUACCAGCAGCACAUGUGGCUGCGGCCUUGAAACCAGCACCGGCGCUCAGAGUUCCAAGAAACGCUCAGUUCCUGGCGCCCUGUGGCCUCUCCACAUGCUCCCCAGGCACUCUCUAAGUGGGCUCUUUCUCUUGGCUCAGAGGGGCUUUGGACACAGAGGAACCACAUGUCCAGAAACCUGGGCCAUUUAAAGGUGUAAUGUAUGGACCUGUCAGCUGGAGAAGAGAGUUGGGGUGCCUGUUCCCACAUGGAGCUUUGACACCAUGCUCAGGAUUGAGGAUUAUUAUAACCUCCCCCAGUCUUGCUCCUUCCUGUAGCUCCCGAACGACCACCUCAAGGGCAGCCCACAGCCACUGCUGCUGGUGUCUUCAUAUUUUCUUUCUUCUGAAUCUGUGCUCUGCAACCUGGCCUCUGCUCCCCGCACUUACUGAAGUGUCUUGCUCCCCGCGAAUGACCUCCUUUAAAAAAACUGCCAUGUCUUUCCUCGGGCCUCACUUUCUUCCAAGGCUGUUGCUGUUGACACCCCACUGCCGUCAUCCCUGCCCCCGUUCCUCAGGAAGCUCUCCCUAGAGGUCGCCUGAGGCAGCCUGGCCUGGUUCCCUUAGCUCCUGGGCAGAUCCUCCGGGUACCCUUGGCUGGACCUCUCCCCCGCACCCCGACAAGCAGACUCUGGGGCAUGCGCGUGAUGUCUUCGCUUUUCAGAGCAGUCACUACACGGGUGACGUCUAGAUUGGAAUCUCUAGCCCUGACUCCUUUCUGAGUCAUAGUUGCCAUCUAGACGUUUCAGCUUGGGGAUCUCUUCAAAUUCCCUGUGACCAACAGCGGCCUUAUUUCCCCCACAUCCUCACGCGAGUGUCUCUUAGGGGGGCAUCUCUUUCAGUGAUCUGAUCUCAUAGACUAGAGACAACUUUACACUUGCAUGUCUUCCAUCUCCUUGAAAGUGUCCCCAAGUUCUGCUUUACUUUCUGAAAAGUCUAGAUUUACCCCUAGCGUCUAUGCUUGCCGCCUCUGGCAACAGCUUCCACUCUGGUGCCCCACUGCUGGGCUGAAGUACAAUUUUUCCUCUCACCCUCUGCUCAGAAACCUUAAGUGGCUCCUUCUGGCCGAUGAUGGAUGAAGACCAGGUUCUUCUGCUCGGAUUCCAAAGCCCCGUGUAAUCUGACCCCAACCUACCGCAUCUAAGCGUGUUCCCCACACUCUCACUAGACGUCGUGGAACGUCUCUUCAAGGCACUGGCCUGGGUUCCAGGGGAAUCAAAACACGAGGAAGAUGGCAGAGCUGGGAUGCCGAGAAUGACUUGAGAUGAUGGACACUCAGGAACAGAAUGACUCUGAAGCAUCGAAAAGGCAGCAAACCUGGAGCUGUUUGCAAAUCUUCUUGAGUUCCCCUUUAAAACUCACCAGCAAAUGCUGACCUGGGAAUUUCAAAACAGUAGACUGAAAUGAAGAUGCCAUCUCACCUCCUGGACUUGAACUUUAUGGCCCUGCAAUGGAGCCAUCCUACUCCGAGGUGCGUCCACACUGUAACUGGAACGAAUGGCCUUCGAGAGCUGAUAGCUGAAACCCAUUCUUCUUUGUGAAAUGAAUAUCUGCAGCCUGCACAAUCUUGGUCCACUUUAGAAGGGGACUGUCCAAAAAAAAUUGAAUUGUUUAAUAUUUAAACUACAUAUUUUCCCCUUAUUUUCAUGGUAAACUUGGCAGACUCAGUGAAUGUCAUAAUCGUGUUCAGAGUCCAAAAGUCAUUUCAUAGUAUUUAAUUCAAGUAUAAAAGAUUCAGUGUCCUGAUCCAAGGUUAUCUUGCCAACUUCUUUGGAUGUUAUGCCGUGGCCAAGGAUACUACUUGGUACUGUGGGUGACACCCACAGAAUUUGCACAGACCAUAAAGCUAACCAUCAGCUCCAGCACACCACUAGAGCAUCAAGCCCGGCUGUGGCCAUCUGAGGGCCACCAGGAUGAUGGAGAAGGGAUGACCCAAUCCCCCGGCUGGGCUUGCGUGUUUUCCUCUUGGAUGAAAGGAUGCUAAGUAUUAGGUUUGGCUGCCCCGCACCCCCACCAAGGCCCCGAAAUGGUCUGGGGUGGGAUCAGUCUCAUACUCACCAUACUCUGGGCUGGAACUUGCUCUAAGAUGGGAACUGUGUCUUUAUGUUUCCAGAGACUUGUGCCGUGCCUGGCUCAGAGUACACACCUAUUGGCUGAUGAAUAAGGAAUAAAUGAAUGUGUGCCGUUUAAGCAAAUGGAAGAUGCAAUGGCUUCUGGCUCUCAAUAUCACACUAUUUUUAUGGAAAUGUUGCAGUAGAAGAAUGUUUCAGCUCACAGGUUGGGAACCCCUGAGCCAGACUUUCAAACAAAGCCUCAAUACAAGAAUUGGAAACUUAGAAGAUUUCCAAGAAAAAGUUCUCUGCUAGAUAAACUGACAGUGUUGCUUCAAUAGGAGUCUUUCUUGUGUUUCUCCCCUUUCCAAAUUCUUGGUGCUUUAAGCUGGCCCUAAAUCUGUAGCCUUUGCUCUAAAAUUUGGAGCCCCCAAAAGAGCUAUGCUAUGGUAUGUGCCAAAUUAAGUAAACUGCAAUACCUAAAUAUGAAUAUAAAUGCCUGCACAUAAAUAUCAAAGUUUAUUGGGCAACUUGUAACAACUUCAACAAAUGGUGUAUGACAGUAAAAAUAUGGUAAUGACAUUGAAGCCAUUUUUUUGUUUGAAAAGAAAAUUACUGUUUUCUAUAGAUAAUAGCACACACAUAAUAGCAUACCCCAUCAGGCAGCCUUUCCCAUUUUGCUUUCCUUUCAAACAGAUGAGUGAUGAGAUGGAUCUUGGCACACUGGACAUUGUCUAUAUUGCAAUAAACAUUCAUGAAAACAGCAAGGCCCCUGAGGCAUUUUAAGAGCACCCACAGCACUGUCCCUCUCAGUGGCCCCAAUGAUCUUUUCUGGGUCUUGCACAUGGUGCCUGGAGAGAUCUGACAGAGGUGUGGCCCAUUAGGGGAUUUCCCAGAGCCAGCUCUGACUCUUAGAUUAUAUUCCAUUGAUGUCUAGAUCCAAGAUCUUUCCUCUCCAUGGAGGAAUUCUGAAAGUAUAUGCUCUCAGCCCAGCCUUACUGUGUCAUUCUAGAAGAAAAUUCAACCUGAUUUGCAUGGUAUUGUAACAUGGAGAUGAAAUUUCCCCACUUGCCUUAACUACUGGUGGAAACUCCUACAGCCAGCAACGAACUUUGCUUGUUCCCUUCCUGUGACCCUUAUCAGUCUGUCUGGUAAGAUACAUAGUUGUGCGCAUCUUAUCACAUCUUAGACUGCUUUCAUAUUUACUGGUUCUUUAUGUAAAUGUUUUCUUCAGCCCUUGCUUUGAAGGUCAGGAGACUUGGAUUUGAAUGCUGGCUUCACUACUACUAGCCGUGAAAAGUUGGACAAGUUAUUUCCUCUCCCUUAGCUUUAGUUGUCGCAGCUGCAAAAUAGGGAGAAUAACGUUUCUGCCUCCAUGGGUUGAUUGAAGAUAAAUGAGACACCACUUGUGACAUGCUCAGCAUGAUGGCUGGCUCAUCGUAACAACCGAGAAGUGUCAUCUGUCAUUAGUCAUGAUACUCUUGGUAGAACCAAGAUUUCACCCUAGAUCUUUCCUCCUCAGGGAGGAACUCUGAGUGUCUGCUCUCAGCCCAACUCUAAUUGUACUGCUGAAGCCCAAGCUCCCUCUCCCAGGGCCGCAGAUGCUUCAGGUCUGCAGCCUUGCCACAGCGUCACUCUGCUCUGCUACUUUUCCAUGUCACGGAGUCAGUGCAAUGUGCCGAUAGAUUUGUAUAAUGAAGACUUGAGUCCCUUGAAUGACUCAAGUUCUUGUAUUAGGAAGAUUAAGCUAACCUCAGGCUGUUCCUAACCUCUCUUCCCCAUUCUCUCUUCCCCAUCCUCAGCCCCUCAGGAGGUCCAGAUGGAAAAAUGUGUUAUUGUCCAUCCAACAACAAAUAUUUCUGAGCGAUGACUUUGCUCAAGAUACCACGCUGAGCCCAUGGCAUUUAAACAGGAGAGUGAGGCACAGUCUUUGCCUUUCAGGACCCUACGGUCCAUGUUGCCAAGAUGGGGUGCAGUGUUAAAAGGCAGCUGACAACACUGGAGGGUUCUAAGUGUUAACGGGGUGGUGCAAAGGAAAAUAGGGUUGAAGGAAAGGAAAGAUCAAUGUAGCUGGAAGAGUCAGGUCUGGGGCUGAUGGCCCUUGGCCUCAAGCAAGACCCUGAAGAGGAAUUUGCUGUCUUGGUGUUCUCCAUGUUGGAGAAAAGAAUACUUCCUUUGUUGAUUGACUCUAGUAGGGAUUAAAGAAGAUUUAUACCAAAUUGAAACAAGCAAAAUCUGGAAGUGAGCUCAAGAAGGUGCAGUGAUUUAUGAAUCUCACCUUGAGAUCUUCAUUUUAAAGAUGAUCAGCAUGAGCAGGCCUUGCCUGAAGGCAAAUAUUAACUAGUCUAAUUAUUGGACCUAAAAAGCAAUUCCAGUCUUGAUGAUGUUUGUAUCCUAUUUUACACAAAGACUAGAUGCACUAAAUCUAUAGCUCUUUCUUUCGACAUCAAGAGUCUGCGUAAAAAUGUUGGCUUUAAUAAUAUUUUUAUUAAAAUUACAUAAACACAGAAAAAUUCACUGGUCAUAAAGUACAGCUUUGUGCAUUUACUCCAGUGGACACACCUGUGUAACCACGGUUCAGUUCAAGAAAGAGAACAUUUCUCUCCCAUGCUCCCUCAUAGUCAUCAAAGGUAACCACUUUCCUGACUCCUACAGCAUCGAUUGCUUUCACCUGUUUUUGAACUUUAUGUAAAUGGAACCACCCAGUACCUAUCAUUUUACGUCCAGUUUCUUCCUCCCAACAUCACAUCUGUAAGAUUCACAUGGGAGUUGAUUCACUUGCUGUGCUGUAUCGUAUUCCAUAAUAUGAGUACAGCACAUUUUGUUUAUCCAUUCUACUGUUGAGGGACAUUUGAGUUGUUCCUUCUUUGGGCUAUUAUAAGUAAUGAUGC